RNAcentral lists this ribosomal RNA (713 nucleotides) under uncultured Lachnospiraceae bacterium. Its description in RNAcentral is "bacterial SSU rRNA". It matches the Rfam family "Bacterial small subunit ribosomal RNA", at positions 41 to 754 of the family's 1533-position model. The record is from RNAcentral. Lineage: Bacteria; Bacillati; Bacillota; Clostridia; Lachnospirales; Lachnospiraceae.
GGCGUGCUUAACACAUGCAAGUCGAACGAAGCACUUAUCUUUGAUUCUUCGGAUGAAGAGGUUUGUGACUGAGUGGCGGACGGGUGAGUAACGCGUGGGUAACCUGCCUCAUACAGGGGGAUAACAGUUAGAAAUGACUGCUAAUACCGCAUAAGACCACGGAGCCACAUGGCUCAGUGGGAAAAACUCCGGUGGUAUGAGAUGGACCCGCGUCUGAUUAGGUAGUUGGUGGGGUAACGGCCUACCAAGCCAACGAUCAGUAGCCGACCUGAGAGGGUGACCGGCCACAUUGGGACUGAGACACGGCCCAAACUCCUACGGGAGGCAGCAGUGGGGAAUAUUGCACAAUGGGGGAAACCCUGAUGCAGCGACGCCGCGUGAGCGAAGAAGUAUUUCGGUAUGUAGAGCUCUAUCAGCAGGGAAGAAAAUGACGGUACCUGACUAAGAAGCACCGGCUAAAUACGUGCCAGCAGCCGCGGUAAUACGUAUGGUGCAAGCGUUAUCCGGAUUUACUGGGUGUAAAGGGAGCGUAGACGGCUGUGUAAGUCUGAAGUGAAAGCCCGGGGCUCAACCCCGGGACUGCUUUGGAAACUAUGCAGCUAGAGUGUCGGAGAGGUAAGUGGAAUUCCCAGUGUAGCGGUGAAAUGCGCAGAUAUUGGGAGGAACACCAGUGGCGAAGGCGGCUUACUGGACGAUGACUGACGUUGAGGCUC